GUGAAGCCCGGGAGUAGAAACCCUAGAAACCCAAAUUGGAGGCCAUGAAAUCGAAGCCGGAGGAGAAGGAUGGCGAUCGUUCGAAGAAGAAGGACGAAGAUAAGAGUGGAAUCUUUGCUUCUUGCUCCUUCUCUGAUAUUGGCCUCCAUCCCACCCUUUGUCAGCACCUCCAAGAGAGAAUGGGGUUUGAGGUUCCGACACAGAUCCAGGCGCAAGCGAUUCCGGUUGUGAUUUCGGGCCAGCAUGUCCUUGUGAAUGCCGCUACUGGCACGGGGAAGACGAUUGUGUACCUUGCGCCGAUUGUUCACUUGUUGCAGAUGUAUGAACCUCGGAUUGAACGCUCUCAUGGAACUUUUGCGUUGGUGCUUGUGCCAACGCGGGAAUUGUGUAUGCAGGUUUAUGAAAUUCUACAGAAGCUGCUACAUCGUUUCCAUUGGAUUGUUCCCGGGUAUAUCAUGGGUGGUGAGAAUCGAUCUAAAGAGAAAGCAAGGUUACGCAAAGGGAUAAAUAUUCUAAUUGCAACUCCUGGGCGCCUUUUGGAUCAUUUAAGGAAUACUUCUUCCUUUGCAUAUGAGAAAUUGCGCUGGAUAGUAUUUGAUGAGGCUGACAGGAUUCUUGAACUAGGUUUUGGAAAAGCAAUUGAAGAAAUACUUGAUAUUCUUGGUUCAAGGCAUGGCACUUUUGGUACAGGAGAGAAUACUACAGCAAAAACCUUCAAUGUUAAGAGGCAGAACUUACUUCUGUCAGCAACUUUAAAUGACAAGGUGAACCAGUUAGCUAAUAUCAGCUUAGAGAAUCCCAUAAUGGUUGGCUUGGAUAAGAAGAUUAGUUCAGAGCCCCCAAAGCCAUCCGUCAAAAAGAUUGCUUUUUUAGAAUCUGAUGAAGAAGAAAUUGCUGAACAUGUUGAUUUGGCAGCAAACGUUGGGGUUGAGAGUUACAAUCUUCCAACUCAAUUGAUUCAGAAAUGUGUCAAAGUGUCAUGUGGUCUACGGCUAGUGACUCUCCUCUCCAUUCUUAGGAGUUUACUGGAAAGGAUGUCAUCGCAGAAGAUUGUGGUUUUUCUUUCAACAUGUGAUGCAGUGGAUUUCCACUAUUCACUUCUCAGUGGUUUCCGCUGGGCUGCUAAUUUGCAAGCAACAGAAGAUCAAAAGCUAAAGUUUAUAGGCUGCAAAGUAAUUAGAUUACACGGGAACAUGCAGCAUGAGGACCGCAAGACAUCAUAUCAAAGCUUUAAUUCUGAAAAAUCAGCAUUGCUUUUAUGUACAGAUGUUGCUGCAAGGGGUUUAGAUUUUCCAAAAGUUCGAUGCAUUAUUCAGUAUGAUUCUCCAGGCGAGGCUUCUGAAUACGUGCAUAGGGUUGGAAGAACUGCUCGAUUGGGUGAAAAGGGAGAAGCCUUACUAUUCCUUCAACCUGUUGAAAUUGAUUAUUUGCAUGAUUUACAGAAACACGGAGUGUCAUUAAAAGAUUAUCCUCUGCAAAAGGUUUUAGAUAGUUUUCCAUUGCCUGGACAAAAACACAGUAAUAGGAAGUUGAUAUCUCUGGAGAUGCAUCCUUGGGUUCUAUUAUUGCAGAAGGCAGUAGAGUCUUUUCAUAUCAUCUGAGCUCAAGUUGAAACAACUGGCCAAGGAUGCAUUCUGCUCAUGGGUUCGUGCAUACGCUGCCCAUCGAGGUGAGCUGAAGAAGAUUUUCAUGGUUAAAAAACUCCACUUAGGGCAUGUUGCUAAAAGCUUCGGACUCAAAGAUCAGCCGUCUCUAGUCGGGAAGAUCAUUCAAAACUCAAGAGAAGAAGAGAAAGAGGGACCUGAGGCAACAUCCUAAGCCUUCCAAAAAACCAAGGCUUUCUGUAAAAGGUACUUGAAGGGAGGCACUUGGCAAACCAAACAAAUUGGCAACAUGUACCAGGAGAGGAAAAUUAGUUUGGUUUUGGUAUAACAAAUGGGAAACUAACCCAUGUAUAUGUUUGAAAGAAUUCCUCUUUUAUUACUAUUAUUUAAUUUUUUGUAUUUAGAUUGUAAUCAGAAUGAAUAUGGUGUUUACUGAUUACUAAGAA
This is an RNA transcript of Dioscorea cayenensis subsp. rotundata (Guinea yam), 2050 nucleotides long. It is a transcript of the gene named DEAD-box ATP-dependent RNA helicase 17, with no coding region annotated. The record is from RefSeq and is a predicted model, not a curated record. NCBI's taxonomy places the organism in Eukaryota, Viridiplantae, Streptophyta, Magnoliopsida, Dioscoreales, Dioscoreaceae. The transcript has 11 exons.